This is a transfer RNA of 71 nucleotides. It matches the Rfam family "tRNA". From Rfam's summary of the family: Transfer RNA (tRNA) molecules are approximately 80 nucleotides in length. Their secondary structure includes four short double-helical elements and three loops (D, anti-codon, and T loops). The record is from Rfam.
GGCGGUAUAGCCAAGUGGUAAGGCAAAGGUCUGCAAAACCUCUAUCGUCGGUUCGAAUCCGAUUACCGCCU